This 4072-nucleotide long non-coding RNA is filed under the name Scleropages formosus (Asian bonytongue). RNAcentral's name for it is "lncRNA (ENSSFOG00015025024.1)". Lineage: Eukaryota; Metazoa; Chordata; Actinopteri; Osteoglossiformes; Osteoglossidae. The record is from RNAcentral.
AGAGGGCGGUAACCUUCCGCGAGGAGCUCUCUUUGCCGCAAGUGUCGCCGCUUUGCCGCUCUUGUGCUUUGUUUCGUCUGACGUUACCCGUACAAGGAAAAGUAGCUCACAAGUCAGGCAUUAAGCUUUGUUACUAGAUUAAAGGUGUCGCCAUCGUAGCCCAUUUCAGCCAGCGUCUGCCGUGCAGCAACGGAUGCCUCAGAAACCGGACUGAGCGCCGAGGCUGAGCUUCUCGUGCGAGCGCCCCGUGCCCGUCACUCACUCUGAGCGCGUGACUCCACUUUCAGUCUAAAUUUAAUAAAAGUCGAUUUGUAAUACUUGUCUCACAUUAUAAAUUAUGUGUAGAAUGGUGUUAAAACCUUUUUUUUUUUUAACACCUUAAAAACAUUGCCAGACUGUUCCACAUGUUCUCUUCCUGUUGCCCAAAAAGCUUAACACAGUCGUCUUUUUUUAGUGAAUUGACUGUAAUGUCCUCCAUUGCGGAGCCGUCCGAUAUACCUGACGCUCCAGCACGUUCACGUUUCAGCAGCUCGAACGCUGACCGAGCGCAAUGGUAGUGACCGCAUCGCACCUGUGUUAGAAUCCCAGCCCUGGCUUCCCGUAAGAUUUCCAGUUGACUUCAAAAUCCUCCUGCUUUCCCGUAAAGCUCUACAUGGCCAGACUGUUGACUCGUCUCUACCUCUCUGUCCUAAGUCCAACGGUCUCUUCUCCAUCUCGUAGUCUUCUUUUGUCUGACUAGUCUUCUACCUGUUCCUCAUGUUCACCUGUAUCCUCCUGUUUCUCCUCCAAACCGUGGAAUUCCUUCACUAAAAAUAUCCGGGCCUGUCCUACUCCGGACAGCAUUAAGUCCGGGAUCAAAAACUACAUGUUCAGAAUAACCCAAGAACAUUGCUUUCUUCUUUCUCUUUACAGUUGUUUUCUUUAUCAUCAUAAUCCUUAUAACACCCAAUGCUUUAAGGAUCAAAGUCCAGACCACUGCCACCCUGAGAAGCCACUGGAAACUGUCCAAGAUGGAGAACCCAUUGCAGAACAAGCUCAUCUACCUGUGGAGCACACUGCCAGAACUAUUGAUGGUGUUUCAGAGCUCCAGCCCAGUGUCGGUAUUUCUGGCCUAAACCUCAGACGCCAGCCUAAGGCCGCUGAAGAAGGCCGGACUGCUCUUGAUGGCGACGGGGGCAAUUCCUACCCGUUGUCACGCGGCGCAAAUGCCGGAACCCCCGCUGCAGCGUUGGACCUUCGCGAUCCGCCGACAGCGGGUGUAAGGAGAAGUACUUUGACGAAGGCAGUUACAGAAGGAUUCAAACCAACAACCAUCCAGUUAUGAGACAACUGUCCUAAAGAUGACGCUACAUGCUGCUCCCCGAACGCAAAGGAUUCUGGACAGCUGGAAGGGGAACUGUGAGCUGUAUGAAGAGUACUGGUGUAGCGGAAGAGACCCCUCCCUCCCCCUCUCCCUUCCGGGGGCUCGACCGGUUGCUGCACAUCACCGCUAGAGGACGCACGCAUUGCGGAGUCUCCGAGACAAUGGAUCUACCCAGGAUCGUCGAAUGGCACCAUAAGAGAUAUAAGUAUUCCACGCUGAUGAAUAUGCGCGUUUAAGCACGGCUCGCGUGUUCUUCUAAAUUGACGCCGCACGCCAGGUAUUCGUUCCGCCGUAGCUGGGCUCCACUGGAACCGUUAUUGAUCUGCAAGGAGAUGAGAGCUCUUUGUGCUGCAGGCCUCUUCUUGUCCCAUCUUGCUGGAGUGGAGUUCAAUACCCACACAGCAGCUCCAGCCCCCCAGUGCCACAGCUGAUUGAAUUAUUGUCCUCUCCUGUGUGGACAGUAAGCUCGCUAUUUGUCGGAGCCGCAGACCGUGAAUGCCGCCUUGUGACCAAGUGCGGGGGGCACCACGCUUUCCAGAAACGCAGGUUUUCAAGGGUUAAAGGGGAAGGCAUUCCAUCCUCGUCGACCCCCCCACCCCCGCCUCCUCCCUCCAGGUGGGGGUGGGGGUUGAGGGGGGUGUGCUACAAUACAUCUGUAAGAUGUUGAAGAAGCAACUCCUGGACUCCAGUUAAUUAACCACAUCAGUUUCUUAAUGUGAUCAAUUUUAAUUAAACUGAAUUUUAAUUGGGAUCGGAGGUCUGCGGAGAGCGCUUGCUAAUUCCGCCGAACGCAUGUGCCGUCGAAGCGGCCGCUUUUCACUUCACAUUUGCCAGGGCCUAAUUAAUAUGGAUAGGGCAUUAAGCCUUUUGGACUCUGGUGGCUUCCAUUUCAUGACUAUUAAUGAUUUUAAUGAACUGGACUAAUUCAGUACUUUUCAGCCGUGGUCCUUUAAAGUGCUGUGCCGUGCUUAUUUAGUUUUGUAAUGGGCAUCGAGAUCUGAGUGGGCGAGACUGGUCAUCUGCUUCAGCCAAGACUGCCGCUUUGCUGGGCAUCGGAGACUGAAAUGGAAAUGUUUUUUGUUCGAUGUUAAAAAAAUAAUUCACUGUGAAAUGUCCUUGUCUCGUUUGUCCUCGUCUCUACACCGGAUGCGCACGUCCCAAAUUCUGCCAUUCCACGGUGUUAUCUUUUUUCAAAAACACGGGGCGGCUUCUACGAGCACUCAGAAGCUCAUCCCUUGUGAGGAGGUUCUUCAGAGUGGGCUGAUCGUGGAUUCAUGAGUUCCCGGUGGUGGUGUUUGAUCACAUCCCCUCUUAAUCUUAUAUGAUAGAGAGCAUGUGUAAAAUGUGUGCUCAUUGAGAGCUCUGAGUAGCAGCCGUGACAAGACGAAUUCAGACUGAAAAGCGUCGUGCUGCCCCUCGCAUCUAAGUAGCGCGCAGGGAUAAAUACUGAGAAGCAGCCGUUACUAAGAUCUGUGUCACGACAGGCCGAGAGAACCGGGACGGAAAGACCCGAGCGCGGAGUCGUCCGUCCGGAGUCAGAGGAUCAGGCAAGUUCUCGGUAUCGGGGACAGGCGGAGGGUCGGUCGAUCGGCGGUCGGGGUCGGAGCGGGAAUCCACGGGCGAGGUCCGGAGACGGAGCGAAGAGUCGGUCGAGCCGCGAUCGGAGUUGAAACGAAGAUCCGUGGACGUGGUCGAGAAACAAAGCUGGGGUCAAAACCGGAGAACGUGAACUGAAAAGUGGAGAUGCGUAUGAGCGGGGAGUCACAAGGAAGGGCGGUUGUCUCUGACGAGAUUCCGCAAAGGUGUGGGAGCUGAGGAGGGUCUUUUAAAGGGUGAGCGGUUAAUCGGGUGCUGGAGCAGAGUCAGGUGUUGUCGGUUGGGUUGUUGGCGUGGACGUGACAAUCUGCAAAGGAAGCGAGAACUUGGAGGCUUCCUCUAAAAACGUAGCCGGAAGAAACGCAUGAAUCUCUUUUAAUGUUCCUGGAAACAGGUUGUAUACCUCUGCUGAGAAACGUAACGUUUACAGUGUUUCUUUAUGUUUGAGACACGUAGGAAUGUAAAUGAGGAUCGAGAGCUAAUACGAUUUUUUUUUCGUGUUUGUUUGUGCUCUGCGAUGCGACCUCGCAGACCCUGCCGCAGAGCUCGUCGAAAGCAACCAAACACCCUGCAGGAUAAAAAGGUAAUUUACGCUCCUAUAGCUGUGCGCUCUGGCGUGCCAGUUGAGGUACGGGCGGAAGACUAAAGAAGUACAGGUGAGUUUACUAUAACACGGUAAAAGCCACAAAAAUGCCAUCAACUCACAUUUUAUGCCCCUUUUCUUUGUUAAAAUGCAAUUCACAGCUUUAAAGAGAUAGCAACUUCCGCUGAUCAUCCACGGUUUAUUAUUUAACAAUUUUAUAGUGCGUGAUUGAACGUCAUCUGACGCUUGUGUCAGUGUGAGGGUGUGACAGGGGGUCAGGCCUCCUAGAAUGAUCACUUUGCAGUGUUGAGCUUCAGCUUCACCCUCUGCUACCAGUCCCAGCACCGGAGCCCACCAGAGCAGGGCAUCUUCACUCCCACGCAAGAUCCAGCGCUGAUGUUGCGAAAAAGUUACACCGGCACAGAAGUGAGGGCAGCGCAGGCAUAACAAUGGCCAUCAGGAGCAGUCGAGAAGAUGCUCGAUGACAAAACGCAAAGAAUAAAAUCUACGUGUCUGUGACGCUGCCUGCA